UUUAAAUAGCUGCAGUAAUUUAACUGUACAAAGGUAGCAUAAUAAUUAGUCUUUUAAUUGAGGUCUAGAAUGAAUGGUUUAACAAGAGAAAAGCUUUAUUUAAUUAAUAAAAUUUAAUUUAAUUUUUUAGUUAAAAGGCUAAAAUUUUUAAAUGGGACGAUAAGACCCUAUAGAUCUUUAAAUUUUUAAUGAAAAAUUUAUUUUAGAUAAUUUAAAAUUUUCCAUUAAAAUAUUUUUUGUUGGGGUGACAGUCAAAUCUUUAAAACUUUGAAUUUUAAUUACAUGUAUAUAUGGAUGUAUAGUUGAUCCUAAAUUUUAGAUUACAAGAAUAAGAUACCUUAGGGAUAACAGCGUAAUAAAUUUGUAUAGUUCAUAUAAGUAAAUUUGUUUACGACCUCGAUGUUGAAUUAAUAAAGAUUUUUGGAGCAGAAACUAAUUUCUUAGGUCUGUUCGACCUUUAAAAUAUUACG
This 470-nucleotide ribosomal RNA is filed under the name Tarophagus colocasiae. Its description in RNAcentral is "partial 16S ribosomal RNA". The record is from RNAcentral. Lineage: Eukaryota; Metazoa; Arthropoda; Insecta; Hemiptera; Delphacidae.